Molecule: ribosomal RNA, 253 nt
Filed under: uncultured bacterium
Lineage: Bacteria
Description: partial 16S ribosomal RNA
Rfam family: Bacterial small subunit ribosomal RNA
Source: RNAcentral
UACGAAGGGGGCUAGCGUUGCUCGGAAUCACUGGGCGUAAAGGGUGCGUAGGCGGGUCUUUAAGUCAGGGGUGAAAUCCUGGAGCUCAACUCCAGAACUGCCUUUGAUACUGAAGAUCUUGAGUUCGGGAGAGGUGAGUGGAAUUCCCAGUGUAGCGGUGAAAUGCGUAGAUAUUGGGAGGAACACCAGUGGCGAAGGCGGCUCACUGGACCGGUUCUGACGCUGAGGCGCGAAAGCGUGGGGAGCAAACGGG